GCGACUCUUCUGCCUCAGCAUCCCGAGUAGCUGGGACUACAGAUGGCUCCCAGCAGCUGCUCCAACCCUGAGUUCUCUGGAGCAGCUCCAAUACCUGAGGACACACGUGAACUAUUCCCUGUGAAUUCCAGGACGACCACACUGACUAGCUGUGUGACCUCCAUGGAGUUGCUUAACCUCUCUGUACUUCAGUUUCUUCAUCUGAGAAAUGGGAGGAUAAUAAUGGGAUCUCCUUCUUGGACUACUGUGAAGAUUAAAUGCGACAAUAUGUGUGGAGGCUUA
Molecule: long non-coding RNA, 282 nt
Organism: Homo sapiens (human)
Lineage: Eukaryota; Metazoa; Chordata; Mammalia; Primates; Hominidae
Exons: 2
Source: RefSeq, a predicted model, not a curated record